GCCGCGUGAGUGACGAAGGCCUUCGGAUUGUAAAGCUCUGUCUUCAGGGACGAAAAAAUGACGGUACCUUAGGAGGAAGCCACGGCUAACUACGUGCCAGCAGCCGCGGUAAUACGUAAGGUGGCCGAGCGGUUGUUCCGGAAUUAACUGGGCGUAAAGGGCGUGUAGGUGGCCAGAUAAGUCAGAUGUGAAACCCAUCGGCUCAACCGAUGGACUGCAUCUGAAACUGUCRGGCUUGAGUGCAGGAGAGGGGAGUGGAAUUCCCAGUGUAGCGGUGAAAUGCGUAGAUAUUGGGAGGAACACCAGUGGCGAAGGCGGCUCCCUGGCCUGUAACUGACACUGAGGCGCGAAAGCGUGGGGAGCAAACAGGAUUAGAUACCCUGGUAGUCCACGCCGUAAACGAUGAGUACUAGGUGUAAA
Molecule: ribosomal RNA, 420 nt
Filed under: uncultured Bacillota bacterium
Lineage: Bacteria; Bacillati; Bacillota
Description: bacterial SSU rRNA
Rfam family: Bacterial small subunit ribosomal RNA
Source: RNAcentral